Long non-coding RNA from Gorilla gorilla gorilla (western lowland gorilla), 722 nucleotides. RefSeq lists it as uncharacterized. The transcript has 3 exons. The record is from RefSeq and is a predicted model, not a curated record. NCBI's taxonomy places the organism in Eukaryota, Metazoa, Chordata, Mammalia, Primates, Hominidae.
UGGAUCAGCUCUAGGGGAAGCCAGCUGCCAUGUUGUGGGGAUGCUCAAGGAGCCCUGAGGAGAGGCCCAUGUGAUGAGGAGCUGAGAGGACUUGGGCCAAAAGCCAGUGGAGAAUUGAGGUCUCCUGUCAGUAGCCAUACACCUUGCAUCACAGAUAGUUGGAGAUGAAAAGGACCUUAGAAACCAUGAGAAACACCAUGGGCCAGGAGAAUGGGGAGCUCUGGAGCCAUAAACCUGGCUUCAGGUCCCAGUUCUGCCACUCACCAGCUGGGUGGCCAAGGACAGCAUUUUUCAGAGAACAGGAGGGAGCUGCUUCCUUAAGUAUCGCCUGGGAUCACAUUCAGACUGGAGAUGUUGCCAGAAGCAAAUCCACCUCAGUGGGGAUUCUGGUUGACCCAGGAGACCCUCUGCUCCUGAGGGAACUACUGAGGGGCUUGGGCUAUGACUCCAGGACCAAGAGUUUUGGGAGAGACUUUCCUUCCCUGGACAAGGAAAAGGAAGUGGAGCUACCAGCUGCUGCUCUGGGAGGCUAGAGGCUCAUCUCUCUACCAUGCACCCUUUCCAAAGCUCUGUUCUCUGAGGGCUUCUGGAAAUACCCGCUUUAAUCAGAGUUAAGCCGGAUUUGAAAGUUGAGAUGAUUAGAUGUGUCAAAAAAAUUUUACAGUCUAAUAACACCCAACGCUGUCAAGAAUGUGGAAAAAAAGAGACAUGUAUGCAUUGUU